RNAcentral lists this ribosomal RNA (253 nucleotides) under uncultured bacterium. RNAcentral describes it as "partial 16S ribosomal RNA". It matches the Rfam family "Bacterial small subunit ribosomal RNA", at positions 524 to 776 of the family's 1533-position model. The record is from RNAcentral.
GACGAAGGGGGCUAGCGUUGUUCGGAAUUACUGGGCGUAAAGCGCGUGUAGGUGGUUGUCCAAGUUGGAUGUGAAAGCCUUGAGCUCAACUCAAGAAAUGCAUUCAGGACUGGGUGACUAGAGGACCGGAGAGGAUAGUGGAAUUCCCAGUGUAGUGGUGAAAUACGUAGAGAUUGGGAAGAACACCAGUGGCGAAGGCGGCUAUCUGGACGGUUUCUGACACUAAGACUCGAAAGCGUGGGGAGCAAACAGG